AUUAAAUUGUAAAAAUGGCCCAUAAUACUUUAUUUUAAGAUAAAGUUUUAUUCUUGUUUAGAAUCUUGUUAUUUGAAUAAUUUAUAUGUAAAUUUAUGUGAGAGGAAAGAAAUAUCUAAAGGGUUAUUUGAGUUAAUCGCAGUAUUUAAUUUUGAAUAUCAAGGUGAUUUGGAAUUAGUAAUUUAAUAUAUGAUUGGUUAAAGUCGUGCCAGCUACCGCGGUUAUACGUAGAAUAGAAAUGAGAUUUAUUAGUUGAGAGUUGAUUUAUUAAAUUAAGAGAAAUUGAUAAUUUUAGGGUAGAAUUUAAAAUUAUUUAUGUUUAUAAUAGUUAAAUGAGGCUUUGAAAAUUAAUUAUUAAACUAGGAUUAGAUACCCUAUUAUUUUAAUUGUAAAUAAGGGGCUGGGGUAGUAUUAGUUAAGAUCUUGAAACUCAAAGAAUUUGGCGGUGCUUUAGUCUUUUCAGAGGAAUCUGUCCUGUAAUUGAUAGUACACAUUAGAUGUUACCUAAUUUUGUAGAAUCAAUUUGUAUACCGCCGUCAUAAGAAUAUCUUUUUAGAGAAUUAAUGUUCUAAUUAUUAAUAAAAUAAUAUGUCAGGUCAAGGUGCAGUUAAUAGUUAGGAAGAGAUGGAUUACAAUAAGAUUAUUUAUAAUGGAUUUUAUAAUGUAAUUUGUAAAUGAAGGUGGAUUUGAAGGUAAUAUUAUUAUAUUAUGAUAAUAUGAUUUAAGCGCUGAGGCAUGCACACAUCGCCCGUCACUCUCGUUAUUAAGAUGAGAUAAGUCGUAACAUAGUAGAUGUACUGGAAAGUGUAUCUAGUAAGU
RNAcentral lists this non-coding RNA (819 nucleotides) under Ruidocollaris sinensis. The record is from RNAcentral. Lineage: Eukaryota; Metazoa; Arthropoda; Insecta; Orthoptera; Tettigoniidae.